GACGAACGCUGGCGGCGUGCUUAACACAUGCAAGUCGAACGAUGAAGAAGAGCUUGCUCUUCGGAUUAGUGGCGAACGGGUGAGUAACACGUGACUAACCUGCCCCUUUCUCUGGGAUAACGCUCCGAAAGGAGUGCUAAUACCGGAUACUCACAUCGAGGCACAUGCCUUGAUGUGGAAAGUUUUUCGGAAAGGGAUGGAGUCGCGGCCUAUCAGCUUGUUGGUGAGGUAACGGCUCACCAAGGCGACGAUGGGUAGCCGGCCUGAGAGGGCGACCGGCCACACUGGGACUGAGACACGGCCCAGACUCCUACGGGAAGCAGCAGUGGGGAAUAUUGCACAAUGGGCGAAAGCCUGAUGCAGCGACGCCGCGUGAGGGAUGAAGGUCUUCGGAUUGUAAACCUCUUUCAGUAGGGACGAAGCGAAAGUGACGGUACCUAAAGAAGAAGCACCGGCUAACUACGUGCCAGCCGCCGCAGUAA
Molecule: ribosomal RNA, 482 nt
Filed under: uncultured bacterium
Lineage: Bacteria
Description: partial 16S ribosomal RNA
Rfam family: Bacterial small subunit ribosomal RNA
Source: RNAcentral